RNAcentral lists this ribosomal RNA (429 nucleotides) under Chloroflexota bacterium. RNAcentral's name for it is "Chloroflexi bacterium partial 16S ribosomal RNA". It matches the Rfam family "Bacterial small subunit ribosomal RNA", at positions 355 to 776 of the family's 1533-position model. Lineage: Bacteria; Bacillati; Chloroflexota. The record is from RNAcentral.
UGGGGAAUAUUGCACAAUGGGCGCAAGCCUGAUGCAGCCAUGCCGCGUGUAUGAAGAAGGCCUUCGGGUUGUAAAGUACUUUCAGCGGGGAGGAAGGGAGUAAAGUUAAUACCUUUGCUCAUUGACGUUACCCGCAGAAGAAGCACCGGCUAACUCCGUGCCAGCAGCCGCGGUAAUACGGAGGGUGCAAGCGUUAAUCGGAAUUACUGGGCGUAAAGCGCACGCAGGCGGUUUGUUAAGUCAGAUGUGAAAUCCCCGGGCUCAACCUGGGAACUGCAUCUGAUACUGGCAAGCUUGAGUCUCGUAGAGGGGGGUAGAAUUCCAGGUGUAGCGGUGAAAUGCGUAGAGAUCUGGAGGAAUACCGGUGGCGAACGCGGCCCCCUGGACGAAGACUGACGCUCAGGUGCGAAAGCGUGGGGAGCAAACAGG